Molecule: ribosomal RNA, 514 nt
Filed under: Uropetala carovei
Lineage: Eukaryota; Metazoa; Arthropoda; Insecta; Odonata; Petaluridae
Description: partial 16S ribosomal RNA
Rfam family: Bacterial large subunit ribosomal RNA
Source: RNAcentral
GUCUUCUUGACUAUAAUAAGAAGUCUGACCUGCCCAGUGAAAAUUAUUUAACGGCCGCGGUAUUUUGACCGUGCAAAGGUAGCAUAAUCAUUAGUCUUUUAAUAGAGGGCUGGUAUGAAGGGUUUGACGAGGUGUUGACUGUCUCAUUUAAUUUGGAUUUAGAAUUUACCUUUUUAGUUAAAAGGCUAAAAUAUUAUUGGAAGACGAGAAGACCCUAUAGAGCUUUAUAUUUAUUUUAUUAAUUAAUUCUUGUUUAUUAUUGUUUAUUAUUAAAUAAAAUAUUUUGUUGGGGUGACAAAAAUAUAUAAAUAACUUUUUUAUUUAAAUUACAUUGAUUUAUGAUUAGUAGAUCCAAUUUUAUUGAUUGUUAGAUUAAGUUACCUUAGGGAUAACAGCGUAAUCCCCCUCCAGAGUUCAUAUUUACAGGGGGGCUUGCGACCUCGAUGUUGGAUUAAGAUAAUAGUUAGGUGUAGCCGCUUAAUAUAUAGGUCUGUUCGACCAUUAAAUUCUUACA